AAGCUGUCUUCAUUAUAGUAUGGGGAUUCUAGUAGGGGGAUAUAGGUAGGAUGGAGAAGCUGUCUUCAUUAUAGUAUGGGGAUUCUAGUGGGGGGAUAUAGGUAGGAUGGAGAAGCUGUCUUCAUUAUAGUAUGGGGAUUCUAGUGGGGGGAUAUAGGUAGGAUGGAGAAGCUGUCUUCAUUAUAGUAUGGGGAUUCUAGUGGGGGGAUAUAGGUAGGAUGGAGAAGCUGUCUUCAUUAAAGUAUGGGGAUUCUAGUGGGGGGAUAUAGGUAGGAUGGAGAAGCUGUCUUCAUUAUAGUAUGGGGAUUCUAGUGGGGGGAUAUAGGUAGGAUGGAGAAUCUGUCUUCAUUAAAGUAUGGGGAUUCUAGUGGGGGGAUAUAGGUAGGAUGGAGAAGCAGUCUUCAU
This 405-nucleotide long non-coding RNA is filed under the name Salmo salar (Atlantic salmon). RNAcentral describes it as "lncRNA (ENSSSAG00000108909.1)". Lineage: Eukaryota; Metazoa; Chordata; Actinopteri; Salmoniformes; Salmonidae. The record is from RNAcentral.